Angiostrongylus cantonensis (rat lungworm) is the source of this 82-nucleotide non-coding RNA. The record is from Rfam. NCBI's taxonomy places the organism in Eukaryota, Metazoa, Nematoda, Chromadorea, Rhabditida, Metastrongylidae.
GGCGAGAUGGCCGAAUGGUGAAAGCGCUGGAUUUAAGUUCCAAUGGACGCAAGUUCUUGUGGGUUCGAACACGCUUGCGCUA